AGAUUAAGUUAUUAAGGGCGCACGGUGGAUGCCUUGGCACUAGAAGCCGAUGAAGGACGUUACUAACGACGAUAUGCUUUGGGGAGCUGUAAGUAAGCUUUGAUCCAGAGAUUUCCGAAUGGGGAAACCCAGCAUGAGUUAUGUCAUGUUAUCGAUAUGUGAAUACAUAGCAUAUCAGAAGGCACACCCGGAGAACUGAAACAUCUUAGUACCCGGAGGAAGAGAAAGAAAAUUCGAUUCCCUUAGUAGCGGCGAGCGAAACGGGAAGAGCCCAAACCAACAAGCUUGCUUGUUGGGGUUGUAGGACACUCUAUACGGAGUUACAAAGGACGACAUUAGACGAAUCAUCUGGAAAGAUGAAUCAAAGAAGGUAAUAAUCCUGUAGUCGAAAAUGUUGUCUCUCUUGAGUGGAUCCUGAGUACGACGGAGCACGUGAAAUUCCGUCGGAAUCUGGGAGGACCAUCUCCUAAGGCUAAAUACUCUCUAGUGACCGAUAGUGAACCAGUACCGUGAGGGAAAGGUGAAAAGCACCCCGGAAGGGGAGUGAAAUAGAACCUGAAACCGUGUGCUUACAAGUAGUCAGAGCCCGUUAAUGGGUGAUGGCGUGCCUUUUGUAGAAUGAACCGGCGAGUUACGAUUUGAUGCAAGGUUAAGCAGUAAAUGUGGAGCCGUAGCGAAAGCGAGUCUGAAUAGGGCGUUUAGUAUUUGGUCGUAGACCCGAAACCAGGUGAUCUACCCUUGGUCAGGUUGAAGUUCAGGUAACACUGAAUGGAGGACCGAACCGACUUACGUUGAAAAGUGAGCGGAUGAACUGAGGGUAGCGGAGAAAUUCCAAUCGAACCUGGAGAUAGCUGGUUCUCUCCGAAAUAGCUUUAGGGCUAGCCUCAAGUGAUGAUUAUUGGAGGUAGAGCACUGUUUGGACGAGGGGCCCCUCUCGGGUUACCGAAUUCAGACAAACUCCGAAUGCCAAUUAAUUUAACUUGGGAGUCAGAACAUGGGUGAUAAGGUCCGUGUUCGAAAGGGAAACAGCCCAGACCACCAGCUAAGGUCCCAAAAUAUAUGUUAAGUGGAAAAGGAUGUGGCGUUGCCCAGACAACUAGGAUGUUGGCUUAGAAGCAGCCAUCAUUUAAAGAGUGCGUAAUAGCUCACUAGUCGAGUGACACUGCGCCGAAAAUGUACCGGGGCUAAACAUAUUACCGAAGCUGUGGAUUGUCCUUUGGACAAUGGUAGGAGAGCGUUCUAAGGGCGUUGAAGCAUGAUCGUAAGGACAUGUGGAGCGCUUAGAAGUGAGAAUGCCGGUGUGAGUAGCGAAAGACGGGUGAGAAUCCCGUCCACCGAUUGACUAAGGUUUCCAGAGGAAGGCUCGUCCGCUCUGGGUUAGUCGGGUCCUAAGCUGAGGCCGACAGGCGUAGGCGAUGGAUAACAGGUUGAUAUUCCUGUACCACCUAUAAUCGUUUUAAUCGAUGGGGGGACGCAGUAGGAUAGGCGAAGCGUGCGAUUGGAUUGCACGUCUAAGCAGUAAGGCUGAGUAUUAGGCAAAUCCGGUACUCGUUAAGGCUGAGCUGUGAUGGGGAGAAGACAUUGUGUCUUCGAGUCGUUGAUUUCACACUGCCGAGAAAAUCCUCUAGAUAGAAAAUAGGUGCCCGUACCGCAAACCGACACAGGUAGUCAAGAUGAGAAUUCUAAGGUGAGCGAGCGAACUCUCGUUAAGGAACUCGGCAAAAUGACCCCGUAACUUCGGGAGAAGGGGUGCUCUUUAGGGUUAACGCCCAGAAGAGCCGCAGUGAAUAGGCCCAAGCGACUGUUUAUCAAAAACACAGGUCUCUGCUAAACCGUAAGGUGAUGUAUAGGGGCUGACGCCUGCCCGGUGCUGGAAGGUUAAGAGGAGUGGUUAGCUUCUGCGAAGCUACGAAUCGAAGCCCCAGUAAACGGCGGCCGUAACUAUAACGGUCCUAAGGUAGCGAAAUUCCUUGUCGGGUAAGUUCCGACCCGCACGAAAGGCGUAACGAUUUGGGCACUGUCUCAACGAGAGACUCGGUGAAAUCAUAGUACCUGUGAAGAUGCAGGUUACCCGCGACAGGACGGAAAGACCCCGUGGAGCUUUACUGUAGCCUGAUAUUGAAAUUCGGCACAGCUUGUACAGGAUAGGUAGGAGCCUUUGAAACGUGAGCGCUAGCUUACGUGGAGGCGCUGGUGGGAUACUACCCUAGCUGUGUUGGCUUUCUAACCCGCACCACUUAUCGUGGUGGGAGACAGUGUCAGGCGGGCAGUUUGACUGGGGCGGUCGCCUCCUAAAAGGUAACGGAGGCGCUCAAAGGUUCCCUCAGAAUGGUUGGAAAUCAUUCAUAGAGUGUAAAGGCAUAAGGGAGCUUGACUGCGAGACCUACAAGUCGAGCAGGGUCGAAAGACGGACUUAGUGAUCCGGUGGUUCCGCAUGGAAGGGCCAUCGCUCAACGGAUAAAAGCUACCCCGGGGAUAACAGGCUUAUCUCCCCCAAGAGUUCACAUCGACGGGGAGGUUUGGCACCUCGAUGUCGGCUCAUCGCAUCCUGGGGCUGUAGUCGGUCCCAAGGGUUGGGCUGUUCGCCCAUUAAAGCGGUACGCGAGCUGGGUUCAGAACGUCGUGAGACAGUUCGGUCCCUAUCCGUCGUGGGCGUAGGAAAUUUGAGAGGAGCUGUCCUUAGUACGAGAGGACCGGGAUGGACAUACCUCUGGUGUACCAGUUGUCGUGCCAACGGCAUAGCUGGGUAGCUAUGUGUGGACGGGAUAAGUGCUGAAAGCAUCUAAGCAUGAAGCCCCCCUCAAGAUGAGAUUUCCCAACUUCGGUUAUAAGAUCCCUCAAAGAUGAUGAGGUUAAUAGGUUCGAGGUGGAAGCAUGGUGACAUGUGGAGCUGACGAAUACUAAUCGAUCGAAGACUUAAUCAAAUU
Molecule: ribosomal RNA, 2927 nt
Filed under: Staphylococcus aureus
Lineage: Bacteria; Bacillati; Bacillota; Bacilli; Caryophanales; Staphylococcaceae
Description: 23S ribosomal RNA
Rfam family: Bacterial large subunit ribosomal RNA
Source: RNAcentral